AAGUUUAUUAUUGUUUUUUAAUUUUUGUAUUUGUUUCUAAGAGGUGAGGAGAGAUCGUUUCAGAUUUUAAUUAUCACUGCCUUCCCUAAGAAAGUACAGGACACACCUCCAGUGAAGGUAAAUGGCCAUCGGGGGUGGUCAAAGGUUGAUGAAAACUCUGCAGCCUCCCUGGAAAGAGAAGCAGGAGGCUGUCUUCAGUCACAUGUGACCUCGACCAGGCUCUGCCCAUCGUUUCAGCCCCUUGAUCCGCAUAAAGAGGGAUGAGUCCAGCCG
This 273-nucleotide long non-coding RNA is filed under the name Bos taurus (domestic cattle). RNAcentral describes it as "long non-coding RNA NONBTAT005806". Lineage: Eukaryota; Metazoa; Chordata; Mammalia; Artiodactyla; Bovidae. The record is from RNAcentral.